UUAGGUAUGAUUCCAUGAGAUGAUUAUGUAAUAUACUAUCUCCCAGGCUUAUGGUCUUAUUGAUUUCACUUAUAUAGCAUUUAUCUUGAACAUCGCCAAUAAUAGUAUGGACAAGUAUAUUACAUAAUUAGGAUUAUGUAUCUUCAAAGUUAGAAUAUCUGAUUAAUUUGUGGUCUCUUGGUGUUAUAAUACAAAAUUACACACUAACAUUACUAGAACAAAAUUGAAUGCCCCUUAUAACAAGUCACAGCUCUAUGCUCAUUGUUACCUAAUAGUCUUAUCAUGUAAUUGUUUGUAAUGGGAUUUCCCUUUUCAUGAAUAAAAGUUAUGAGAUUUCCCUCAUAGGCUUCUUGUUCAGAGUCAAAUUAGCUAGAUCUAAAACCUCUAAGAUUGGUCUAGUGGUGAGGGAGUUGAAUAGUAUGCCCAGCUGGAGCUCAUAGGCUAUGUUGUCAAUAGCUUACUAUAAUAGAACAGUGUAGCGGUGGUAUUGUUAGGCGCGACGCUACUGGUCCGGGAACCACCGUCAACAAUAGCGGUUAUAGAGGCCGCUAAUUGCAGCUCCAUACCGCUAUCGCAGCCGCAAUUAGAUUUUUCAGGAUAAAUUCCUCAAUUUUUUUAAACCGUUGUCUUUUUUAAGGGUUUAAAUUACAACCUGAACCCUUUGAAGAGUAAUGUUAUGUCCUUCCUCAAUUUUUACUUUAGUUUUGUUUAGUCUUCUUCUCUGCCUAAGUUUUAUCACCAUAUCUUUAACUAUUAAGUAUGAUGAUCUCUUUAAUUUUGUGAAUAGGUCUACUUUUUAGUAUUUUUCGUUUACUUUGUAUAAUGGUUUUUAGUCUUUAGAAAAGCGGCUAUUCCACCAUCCGUUAUACCGCUAUAGCAUUUUAGGGGGUCGAUGCUAAGCAACUCAGUCCGAGAUAAACAUCAUAGGUCCUAGGCUCAGUCAGACAUCAUUACCUCUAGUGUUUCUUUUCCCUCUUUAAUUCACCAAAGUAAACUAAGCAGUUUAUUUGAAUCAAAAUACAGUUUAAAAUGUUAAAUGGUUUCCGAUUCUUUGCUGCAACAUUUUCUCAAAUUUAGUUAAUUGUCACUUUCUUGUUAUAUAUUCAGUUAUCAAUUGGAAUUCACCUAUUACAAUAAUUACUUAUUCAUUGAAUUAGACAUGUCUUUUAUAGUAGUUUUGAAUACAGAGGUUGAAAAUGCCAAACACAUGCCAUUGAGAUAUUUUGUGUUGACAACAGACUAUUCGUUUUCCCUUCCUUUGGUAGGAAGAAACGCACGAUCUCACCAAUUCUACGCGUUUCGACGGUGAUCUCACCGAUCCUACCCAAAUAUGAGUUUUCUCAUUUGCGGAAUUGGACUGUCCUACAAAAGGGAUUGCGAUUCUGACUACUAACUUGUUCAUAUUAUUAAAAAUAGAUUGAGGUAAAAGUCACAAAAAAUAUGGCUUGUUAGACUCUUCUACAAUUCAAUAUUUUUUUCCGUCUGUAACAUUUGUUGAUCAGUUUUAGUCUUGAGUUUGCCACAAAGUUCUCUCUUUAAUCCAUACAGAGAACUUGAAAGUUGAGUUUGAAUUUCCCAUUAAGCUUAAUUCUAUAUAACCUGAAGACCUAGGUUUAAUUUAUUUUAUUUAAUAAUUCAUUGCGUAUUUUAUGGAUUAUUUAUUUCAUAUGGGUGAUGCAAGCCAACAAUACAAGAUGAAUGAUGACAAAUGAUCCCUGAAGCUGAAAGAGUCAUUGACCUGCUUUUGUUUUUGUUCUUUGAAGUGAUGUGGGAUUUAGGUACUUGUACUUGUAUGUUCUUAAUGCCUAAUGUUUCAUGUUUUUUAACUUUCAUCUUUUACUCAUGAUAUGAUAUUUUCUAAGCAUUCAUAUAUACAAGUUUUUUUGGUUAGUUUUGAUUUUGUCCAAGGUGUAUCAUCUGUGCGAAGUAGAUGUUGAAAUAUCCUUCACUAUUUUGUUCAGUUGCCUGCAAAAUAGAAGGUCCAUUUUGUGAUGCUAGCCUGCAUGUUGUGGUGUAAUAAAAUUAUCUGGUGUAGAGGGACAAUGUAGAGCCGGUUCAAAAUGUAAUCAGGUGCACCCACAACUUGAUGGAUGAUAGCAGUAGACUAGGCAUUGCAGCAGAUGCGCUGUCAGUACUAACGAUAAUGGUUCGAAAAAGGCACCUAUUGUGAACCCAAGGGUGAUAUGUUGGUGAAGAUUUGAGAAUUAAGAGUAUGCUUUUUUUCAAGGGCUCGCGUGAUGAGCCAUGCUAUGCUAAUGUUUUGCCUUGAAUUACUCUCCAGCAGGUGGUCGGUGUUAAUAACUGGAUACCGAGUUUCCAUUUUAUCAAAUCCAUUUAUUAGAACUUCUUUGUCAUUUGAUCAAUCUUUGGAGAAAAUGCUUAAUGAAAGCCAACCCAUUUACAUGUAAUACUUAAGAAUAAAUUUAAGCAAAAAGAAUCUAUUGAAAGUCCUUAAACGUGUAGCAAUCCUGAAUUUAUUGAAA
Molecule: long non-coding RNA, 2483 nt
Organism: Vicia villosa (hairy vetch)
Lineage: Eukaryota; Viridiplantae; Streptophyta; Magnoliopsida; Fabales; Fabaceae
Exons: 2
Source: RefSeq, a predicted model, not a curated record